This 433-nucleotide ribosomal RNA is filed under the name uncultured bacterium. Its description in RNAcentral is "partial 16S ribosomal RNA". It matches the Rfam family "Bacterial small subunit ribosomal RNA", at positions 29 to 507 of the family's 1533-position model. The record is from RNAcentral.
AGCGAACGCUGGCGGCAGGCCUAACACAUGCAAGUCGAACGAACUCUUCGGAGUUAGUGGCGGCCGGGUGAGUCACACGUGGGAACGUGCCUUUUGGUUCGGCAUAACUCAGGGACACUUGUGCUAAUACCGAAUGUGCCCUUCGGGGGAAAGAUUUAUCGCCAUUAGAGCGGCCCGCGUCUGAUUAGCUAGUUGGUGAGGUAACGGCUCACCAAGGCGACGAUCAGUAGCUGGUCUGAGAGGAUGACCAGCCACACUGGGACUGAGACACGGCCCAGACUCCUACGGGAGGCAGCAGUGGGGAAUCGUGCGCAAUGGGCGAAAGCCUGACGCAGCCAUGCCGCGUGAAUGAUGAAGGUCUUAGGAUUGUAAAAUUCUUUCACCGGGGACGAUAAUGACGGUACCCGGAGAAGAAGCCCCGGCUAACUUCGUG